RNAcentral lists this ribosomal RNA (397 nucleotides) under uncultured bacterium. RNAcentral's name for it is "partial 16S ribosomal RNA". It matches the Rfam family "Bacterial small subunit ribosomal RNA", at positions 523 to 918 of the family's 1533-position model. The record is from RNAcentral.
AUACGUAGGGGGCGAGCGUUGUCCGGAAUGAUUGGGCGUAAAGGGCGCGUAGGCGGCCCGGUAAGUCUGGAGUGAAAGUCCUGUUUUUAAGAUGGGAAUUGCUUUGGAUACUGUCGGGCUUGAGUGCAGGAGAGGUAAGUGGAAUUCCCAGUGUAGCGGUGAAAUGCGUAGAGAUUGGGAGGAACACCAGUGGCGAAGGCGACUUACUGGACUGUAACUGACGCUGAGGCGCGAAAGUGUGGGGAGCAAACAGGAUUAGAUACCCUGGUAGUCCACACCGUAAACGAUGAAUACUAGGUGUAGGGGGUAUCGACUCCCUCUGUGCCGCAGUUAACACAAUAAGUAUUCCGCCUGGGGAGUACGGCCGCAAGGUUGAAACUCAAAUGAAUUGACGGGG